This 270-nucleotide unclassified non-coding RNA is filed under the name Hevea brasiliensis (rubber tree). The record is from RNAcentral. Lineage: Eukaryota; Viridiplantae; Streptophyta; Magnoliopsida; Malpighiales; Euphorbiaceae.
GAUAUUGGGUUUGUUGAACAACUUGAUCUCAUUCCUGAGUUGGGUUUGGUUUAUAUUUAUAGAUCACGUCUACUGCUCGCAUUCUCUGUGUUAUUUUUGCUGCUUUGCUUUAUUUAUUGCCUAAGAUUUCUUUUCCCCCAGCUUAUUCUUUUGUUUAGUGGUAAAAACUGUGCGAACUAUUUGUGUACUAAAAUUUUCUUCUUGUCCCCACUAAGUGAAUCUUUAUUUGUUUAAAUCUCUGACUUGCAGGAAAUGUCUGCGCGAGUUGUG